AAUGGGCGAAAGCCUGACGCAGCCAUGCCGCGUGUGUGAAGAAGGCCUUCGGGUUGUAAAGCACUUUCAAUUGGGAGGAAAGGUUCGUAGUUAAUAACUGCGAGCUGUGACGUUACCUUUAGAAGAAGCACCGGCUAACUCCGUGCCAGCAGCCGCGGUAAUACGGAGGGUGCGAGCGUUAAUCGGAAUGACUGGGCGUAAAGGGCGCGUAGGUGGUUGUUUAAGUUAGAUGUGAAAUCCCUGGGCUUAACCUAGGAACUGCAUUUAAUACUGGGCAACUAGAGUACAGGAGAGGGCAGUGGAAUUUCCGGUGUAGCGGUGAAAUGCGUAGAUAUCGGAAGGAACACCAGUGGCGAAGGCGACUGCCUGGCCUGAUACUGACACUGAGGCGCGAAAGCGUGGGUAGCGAACAGGAUU
Molecule: ribosomal RNA, 417 nt
Filed under: uncultured Gammaproteobacteria bacterium
Lineage: Bacteria; Pseudomonadati; Pseudomonadota; Gammaproteobacteria
Description: bacterial SSU rRNA
Rfam family: Bacterial small subunit ribosomal RNA
Source: RNAcentral